UACGAAGGGGGCUAGCGUUGCUCGGAAUCACUGGGCGUAAAGGGUGCGUAGGCGGGUCUUUAAGUCAGGGGUGAGAUCCUGGAGCUCAACUCCAGAACUGCCUUUGAUACUGAAGAUCUUGAGUUCGGGAGAGGUGAGUGGAACUGCGAGUGUAGAGGUGAAAUUCGUAGAUAUUCGCAAGAACACCGGUGGCGAAGGCGGCCAUCUGGACCGCAACUGACGCUGAGGCGCGAAAGCGUGGGGAGCAAACAGG
RNAcentral lists this ribosomal RNA (253 nucleotides) under uncultured bacterium. Its description in RNAcentral is "partial 16S ribosomal RNA". It matches the Rfam family "Bacterial small subunit ribosomal RNA", at positions 524 to 776 of the family's 1533-position model. The record is from RNAcentral.